This 772-nucleotide ribosomal RNA is filed under the name uncultured Neocallimastigales. Its description in RNAcentral is "partial large subunit ribosomal RNA". It matches the Rfam family "Eukaryotic large subunit ribosomal RNA", at positions 22 to 635 of the family's 3401-position model. The record is from RNAcentral. Lineage: Eukaryota; Fungi; Neocallimastigomycota; Neocallimastigomycetes; Neocallimastigales.
UACACGCUGUGACUAGCAUAUCAAUAAGCGGAGGAAAAGAAACUAACAAGGAUUCCCCUAGUAACGGCGAGUGAAGCGGGAAGAGCUCAAAUUUGAAAUCUUAAAGGGUUUCCCUUUACGAAUUGUAGUUUAAAGAAGUGUUUUCUGUUGAGGUUUUGGUAAAAGUUCUUUGGAAUAGGACAUCAUAGAGGGUGAGAAUCCCGUAUUUGACCUUUACUUUCAACUUUGUGAUACACUUUCAAAGAGUCGGAUUGUUUGGGAAUGCAGUCCAAAAUGGGUGGUAAAUUUCAUCUAAAGCUAAAUAUUGGCGAGAGACCGAUAGCGAACAAGUACCGUGAGGGAAAGAUGAAAAGAACUUUGAAAAGAGAGUUAAACAGUACGUGAAAUUGUCAAAGGGAAGCGUUUGACACCAGUGUUGUUUUUCUGAAAAUCAAUUAAAGAACUGUUUAUGCUAAGUUGUUUAGACUUUAUCAGCUAUCUGUUUAGUUUUGAGCUUUUCUUUAAUGCACUUUUCAGUUAACAAGUCAACAUCAAUUUCUUUUGCUGUAAAAAAGCUUGAGGAAGGUGGCUUGAGAUUCGUCUUAAGUGUUUAUAGCCUCUUGCCUAUGCAGUCGGAGAGAUUGAGGUCUGCAGCGUAGAUCCUUCGGGGCUAAAUGCAUUUGUGCUAAGUUAUAGCAUUUUAUAGACAACUUGUUGACUAUGAUUUGUCUUGUAGCUUACUCGCUUAUGUUAUUUUACCUACGCUUAGGAUGUUGAAGAUGUAGCACAUCAU